This 396-nucleotide ribosomal RNA is filed under the name uncultured bacterium. RNAcentral describes it as "bacterial SSU rRNA". It matches the Rfam family "Bacterial small subunit ribosomal RNA", at positions 28 to 419 of the family's 1533-position model. The record is from RNAcentral.
GACGAACGCUGGCGGCGUGCUUAACACAUGCAAGUCGAACGGUGACGAGGAGCUUGCUCCUCCGAUCAGUGGCGAACGGGUGAGUAACACGUGAGUAACCUGCCCCAGACUCUGGGAUAACAGUUGGAAACAGCUGCUAAUACCGGGAUACGAGACGGAGAGGCAUCUCUACCGUCUGGAAAGUUUUUCGGUCUGGGAUGGACUCGCGGCCUAUCAGGCUUGUUGGUGAGGUAAUGGCUCACCAAGGCGACGACGGGUAGCCGGCCUGAGAGGGCGACCGGCCACACUGGGACUGAGACACGGCCCAGGACUCCUACGGGAGGCAGGCUAGUGGGGAAUAUUGCACAAUGGGCGAAAGCCUGAUGCAGCGACGCCGCGUGAGGGAUGACGGCCUGG